GGACCCUGGGGCUCUUUGGGAGGGAGCAGGUUGGGGGGAGAUUUGUCCUGGGUUAUGGAUGAAGGCACAGGCCGUAAGGGUGUCUCAGGAUGGGGGAGAGAGAUAGUUCGUGGAGAUGCCUCACCGUAUAUGGGAUAACACAUUGGGGGGUUUCCUGGCACAAUGGGAAAGGGACAGGUUGCAAGGAGAUGGGCGUCCCAGGACUUUGUAUAAGGGAACGGUUCGGGGUGGGUGUCCCUGGACUUGGUGUGUGUAUGUGCUUGUGUGUGUGUGUGUGUAGCAUCCCUCGAGGUAUCCUGGAGCUGUGGGGCUCACCUAGUUUCUUCCUGUUGGAGAACGGACUGUUAGACCUUUGGCAUCCCGGGGGAAAGUACUGACCACGUACAAGCCGCGGAUGCCCAGGCCCCAGUUCUGCAGGCUCCUUCAUUCUGCGGCUCUGGCCCUGGACUGUGGUGAUGUCAAGCCAGUUGGCAUUGCCUCACUUGGGUGCCUCCUCCCAUCUUCGCUUUUGAUCAUGUCUCUACAGCCUUAGAAAUAAGGAGUCUUUAUAUUUCUACAGAUGUGUCAGUCUUUAAGCAAAUCCUGUCUACAAUCCUUGAGUUUAUUCAAAAGCUUAAUUUAGGGAUCUUUUAAAAAACCCUGAAUUUCCCAGUUGAGUUCCUAUGGGAUUCUUUGAGAGGACAAGCUCCCCCAUGCAGUUAACACCAGUCAGUUUAUGGAAAAUCUGCUUAAUUUGACAAAUGUUGAGUUAAAGUGUCCACUAUGCUCAAAGCACUGUUGUGGGGAAUCUCAGAGAAGAGCAAGACAAGGCCCUAACCCUCCAGGAACCUUGUCUGGCUGGGAAGAUGAGACAGAUACCUGUGAAAUAGGCAAUGAUUUUAGGAGAGAACUGUCGGCUCAUGACUGAGCUUUCACUAUUGUACUACACUUUCUGACAUGAUGGGAUCAGGCAGACCAGCCUCAACCUGUGUUCAUCUAGCAUCUAGUGUCCAACUGGAUGGGAGGAGUGACCCCAGGAAACUUCAGACCCAGGUGCUUCCCUGGUGGCGCAGUGGAUAAGAAUCUGCCUGCUAAGGCAGAGGACACGGGUUCAGCCCUGGUCCAGGAAGAUCCCACAUGCCACGGAGCAGCUAAGCCCAUGCACCACCACUACUGAACCUGCACUCUAGAGCCCGCGAGCCACAACUACUGAGCCCGCGUGCCACAACUACUGAAGCCCACAUGCCUAGAGCCUGUGCUUCGCAACAAGAGAAGCCACCGCAACGAGAAGCCUGCACACUGCAGUGAAGAGUAGCCCCCGCUUGCUGCAACUAGAGAAAGCCCGCGUGCAGCAACGAACACCCAA
Molecule: long non-coding RNA, 1345 nt
Organism: Physeter macrocephalus (sperm whale)
Lineage: Eukaryota; Metazoa; Chordata; Mammalia; Artiodactyla; Physeteridae
Exons: 3
Source: RefSeq, a predicted model, not a curated record